GUAGAGGCUCUUCGGAGCCUUGAGAGUGGCGGACGGGUGAGUAACACGUAGGUGAUCUGCCCUUGAGUUGGGGAUAGCCCAUGGAAACAUGGGGUAAUACCGAAUACGGUGGGUUUGCUGUGGCAGACCCAAGAAAGGCGCUUCGGCGCCGCUCGAGGAUGAGCCUGCGGCUGAUUAGCUAGUUGGUAGGGUAAAGGCCUACCAAGGCGACGAUCAGUAGCCGGCCUGAGAGGGUGAACGGCCACACUGGGACUGAGAUACGGCCCAGACUCCUACGGGAGGCAGCAGCUAAGAAUCUUCUGCAAUGGGGGAAACCCUGACAGAGCGACGCCGCGUGGGUGAAGAAGGCCGGAAGGUUGUAAAGCCCUUUUCUAUCUGAGGAAUAAUCAUCGGAGGCAAUGCCGGUGAGAUGACGGUAGGGUAGGAAUAAGCCCCGGCCAAUUACGUGCCAGCAGCCGCGGUAACACGUAUGGGGCGAGCGUUGUUCGGAAUCAUUGGGCGUAAAGGGCGCGUAGGCGGUUAUACAAGCUUGGUGUGAAACCCCGCAGCUCAACUGCGGAUCCGCGCUGAGAACUGUAUGACUAGAGUUCAAGAGGGGAAGCUGGAAUUCCUGGUGUAGGGGUGAAAUCUGUAGAUAUCAGGAAGAACAUCGGUGGCGAAGGCGAGCUUCUGGCUAUGAACUGACGCUGAGGCGC
RNAcentral lists this ribosomal RNA (695 nucleotides) under uncultured bacterium. RNAcentral describes it as "bacterial SSU rRNA". It matches the Rfam family "Bacterial small subunit ribosomal RNA", at positions 69 to 754 of the family's 1533-position model. The record is from RNAcentral.